RNAcentral lists this ribosomal RNA (257 nucleotides) under uncultured bacterium. RNAcentral describes it as "partial 16S ribosomal RNA". It matches the Rfam family "Bacterial small subunit ribosomal RNA", at positions 524 to 776 of the family's 1533-position model. The record is from RNAcentral.
UACGUAGGGUGCGAGCGUUUGUCCGGAAUUAUUGGGCGUAAAGAGCUUGUAGGCGGUUUGUCGCGUCUGCUGUGAAAAUCCGGGGCUCAACCCCGGACUUGCAGUGGGUACGGGCAGACUAGAGUGUGGUAGGGGAGACUGGAAUUCCUGGUGUAGCGGUGAAAUGACGCAGAUAUCAGGAGGAACACCGAUGGCGAAGGCAGGUCUCUGGGGCCACUACUGACGCUGGAGAAGCGAAAGCAUGGGGAGCGAACAGG